Molecule: ribosomal RNA, 282 nt
Filed under: uncultured prokaryote
Description: partial 16S ribosomal RNA
Rfam family: Bacterial small subunit ribosomal RNA
Source: RNAcentral
UACGUAGGGGGCAAGCGUUAUCCGGAUUUACUGGGUGUAAAGGGAGCGUAGACGGUAUGGUAAGUCAGAUGUGAAAGCCCGGGGCUCAACCCCGGGACUGCAUUUGAAACUAUCAAACUGGAGUGCAGGAGAGGUAAGUGGAAUUCCUAGUGUAGCGGUGAAAUGCGUAGAUAUUAGGAGGAACACCAGUGGCGAAGGCGACUUACUGGACUGUAACUGACGUUGAGGCUCGAAAGCGUGGGGAGCAAACAGGAUUAGAUACCCCCGUAGUCCCUGAGCGGG